Molecule: ribosomal RNA, 185 nt
Filed under: uncultured bacterium
Lineage: Bacteria
Description: partial 16S ribosomal RNA
Rfam family: Bacterial small subunit ribosomal RNA
Source: RNAcentral
CUUCAUGAAGCCGGAAUUGCUAGUAAUGGCAGGUCAGCAUACUGCCGUGAAUACGUUCCCGGGCCCUUGUACACACCGCCCGUCACACCAUGAGAGUUGGAAAUACCCGAAGCCUGUGAGCUAACUUAAAGAGGCAGCAGUCGAAGGUAGAGCCAAUGAUUGGGGUGAAGUCGUAACAAGGUAGC